UGCCGCGUGCAGGAAGACGGCCCUACGGGUUGUAAACUGCUUUUCCGGGGGACGAAUAGGGCCGACGUGUCGGCCGAUGCCGGUACCCCGGGAAUAAGGAUCGGCUAACUCCGUGCCAGCAGCCGCGGUAAUACGGAGGAUCCGAGCGUUAUCCGGAUUUACUGGGUUUAAAGGGUGCGUAGGCGGGCUCCUAAGUCGGCGGUGAAAGUCUGCGGCUCAACCGUAGGAUUGCCGUUGAUACUGGGGGCCUUGGAUACGGUCGAGGCGGGUGGAAUGCGCGGUGUAGCGGUGAAAUGCUUAGAUAUCGCGCAGAACGCCGAUUGCGAAGGCAGCUCGCCAGGCCGUGAUUGACGCUGAGGCACGACAGCGUGGGGAUCGAACAGGAUUAGAUACCCUGGUAGUCCACGCCGUAAACGAUGAUGGCUGGGUGUUGGCGGUACACGGUCAGCGCCUGAGCGAAAGCAUUAAGCCAUCCACCUGGGGAGUACGGCCGCAAGGUUGAAACUCAAAGGAAUUGACGGGGGCCCGCACAAGCGGAGGAACAUGUGGUUUAAUUCGAUGAUACGCGAGGAACCUUACCCGGGCUAGAACGCCGAACGAACGGCCCCGAAAGGGGUCGGCCAGCGAUGGCGGUCGGCGAGGUGCUGCAUGGUUGUCGUCAGCUCGUGCCGUGAGGUGUCGGGUUAAGUCCCAUAACGAGCGCAACCCCUACCGCCAGUUGCCAGCGGGCAAUGCCGGGGACUCUGGCGGAACUGCCGGCGUAAGCCGCGAGGAAGGCGGGGAUGACGUCAAAUCAGCACGGCCCUUACGUCCGGGGCUACACACGUGUUACAAUGGCCGGUACAGAGGGCAGCCACCCCGCGAGGGGGCGCUAAUCUCGAAAGCCGGUCCCAGUUCGGAUCGGGGUCUGCAACCCGACCCCGUGAAGUUGGAUUCGCUAGUAAUCGCGCAUCAGCAACGGC
Molecule: ribosomal RNA, 962 nt
Filed under: uncultured Bacteroidota bacterium
Lineage: Bacteria; Pseudomonadati; Bacteroidota
Description: bacterial SSU rRNA
Rfam family: Bacterial small subunit ribosomal RNA
Source: RNAcentral